Molecule: ribosomal RNA, 116 nt
Filed under: Escherichia coli
Lineage: Bacteria; Pseudomonadati; Pseudomonadota; Gammaproteobacteria; Enterobacterales; Enterobacteriaceae
Source: RNAcentral
CCUGGCGACCUUAGCGCGGUGGUCCCACCUGACCCCAUGCCGAACUCAGAAGUGAAACGCCGUAGCGCCGAUGGUAGUGUGGGGUUUCCCCAUGCGAGAGUAGGGAACUGCCAGGC